RNAcentral lists this ribosomal RNA (492 nucleotides) under uncultured bacterium. RNAcentral's name for it is "partial 16S ribosomal RNA". It matches the Rfam family "Bacterial small subunit ribosomal RNA", at positions 29 to 507 of the family's 1533-position model. The record is from RNAcentral.
AUUGAACGCUGGCGGCAUGCUUUACACAUGCAAGUCGAACGGUAACAGGCCUUCGGGUGCUGACGAGUGGCGAACGGGUGAGUAAUGCAUCGGAACGUACCCAGAGGUGGGGGAUAACGCAGCGAAAGCUGUGCUAAUACCGCAUGUGAUCUGAGGAUGAAAGCGGGGGACCGAGCAGCAAUGUUUGGCCUCGCGCCUUUGGAGCGGCCGAUGUCGGAUUAGCUAGUUGGUGGGGUAAAGGCCUACCAAGGCGACGAGCCGUAGCUGGUCUGAGAGGACGACCAGCCACACUGGGACUGAGACACGGCCCAGACUCCUACGGGAGGCAGCAGUGGGGAAUUUUGGACAAUGGGCGCAAGCCUGAUCCAGCAAUGCCGCGUGCGGGAAGAAGGCCUUCGGGUUGUAAACCGCUUUUGGCAGGAACGAAACGGUGUCCGCUAAUACCGGGCGCUAAUGACGGUACCUGCAGAAUAAGCACCGGCUAACUACGUG